GAGUUCCCGCUGUGGUACCGUGGGUUAAGGAUCAGAUUGCAGUGGCUCGGGUUGCUGCAGAGGUUCAGAUUUGAGCCCUGGCCCAGGAACUUUCAUGUGCCGCAGGUGAGGGCAUAAAAUCUUUAAAAAUUUAAAAAAUUAAAUGAAAUGUAAAUAUAAUAAUAUUUCAUAAUAAUCUCUAAAGGAAGAGAAUCUGAAGCAUGUAUAUGUAUGUAUAUACAUAUAUAUCUGAAUUACUGUGCUGUGUACCUGAAACUAACAUGAUAUUGUAAAUCAACUAUAUUUCAAUUAAAAAUGGAAAAAAAAGGAAAUAUAAUACCACAUAGGGUUGUGUGGGUUAGAUGACAUACUAUGGAUUCACAUGUUUGGUAAAUUUGAAUGUGUUCUAUAAAUGUGAGAAAUUAAUAGAUGUGGUAUUAAUUAUAAUGAUUAGAGGAAGAGCAGAGGGAAGAAAUGUACUUGAAAGGAAGACUCUAGGCAGAUCAAAUGCUUGAUUCAUAAAUUAACGUGUGAUGAUGGAAUUUGAAGGCCUGGAUCAGAGAUGAUUCAGUAGGAACCUUCAGUACAUCCCGCACGUAACACCAGGUAGGCAGCAGCCUCACGUGUUCCUGAGCCCCUUUCUCUAGUUUUGUUUCUCCCUUGCCUAUGACUUCAUAUUAUUUUACCUCUUCAGACUCCAAAUAUCAAGAGUAAACUGCCGUGCAAUAAGUUGAGAGACCAGAAGGCAUCUUUAAUCAUUUACCUCUCUCCUCUUUGUCUCAUUUCCCCCUUGUGCAAAAUAUCGUGCCAUCUGACUUUUUUCUUUCCACCUGUGAAUAUCGAGAAAUAAAGCAAGAUGUUGUUUGCAAAGUUUUCUCAUAUGCUUGUCUGAGAGACGUUAUAUAAAUAUAAAACCUAUUUUUAACUUCCCUUGCUGGAAAUAAAAUAACCCUCAUGAGCAUAUAUGAAUCAAUACAGCCUUUUCUGGACUAGUACCUACUACAAAGAUGCUUCUGAAGAGUUACAAGUUAAAGUAUCUCUACUGUGGUCUAGCCCUUCGUUCAUCAAACUGAUUGCAUAAAGGAGCUCUGAUUUCAGUAGCAGUUAACAUUUUAAUCUGGUUCUUUUAAGGAAUUUCAUUGUAAUUAAGGAGUUGAGUAUCCGUGAGAAUCUUUGGUUCACGGAACAUUUUUCUAGAGAUGAGCAUUCAGGGGCUAGAUUGAGUUCUGUAACCACUUCUGGCUUUUUAAAAAUAGGUUUGACGUGGCAUGUUCAUGUUUGCUCAUUUGCCGUAACAGCGUGUUCUUCCCAUUGUUUGAAGUGCUGAGUGUUACAUGCAUUUUAGGAAAGUUUCUGGAGAAGUUAAUGCCAGUUGAAAUGUAUUUGUUUCAGAGUUGAAAUCAGAGGAUGAUGAGUGAGUAGGUGCUUAAGCUCAGGAUAAUUUAAGUUUGGAGCGCAGAGCCAAACCCAACUUCUAUUAAAAAUGCUCACUCCUCAACUUUUGAGUUAAGGAUGUUUGGGAAUCCAAGAUACUGUAAUUAUCUCAACAGUGAUUUUUUUUUUUUUGCAUUCUGUACAAUAUCAUUAUUUCACUGUUUCAGAAAGAGGGUAAUUUUAAGUGAAUUUCCAAGAGAAUAUCUCUAGGACUCAGGUCCACCCCACCAAAUGUCUCCUCUUCAUUAAUAGGCAAAAUAUUUUUUAUCUUAGAGAAUGUUUUAGGCAUGUCAGUCCUAGGAGAGACCCAGCUCAGCUUUUGAAGGGUCACGGGUGAUCGGCUUAUUGUUGAAGGGCAUUUCUAAUUAAGAUGGAAGGGCUUUCUUUUAAGUUUCUGGAGGAUGAAGAUCACAUUUGUUGGCAUUUAAAAAAUAAUGCUUUCUUUAAGGGACAAAGAUGAGUACUCUAAACAGCAUUUAAUCACAAUGCUGGUAAUUCACAAAACAAAAUAGUGUCAUUUGAUUACAACAUAAUGAUGAGCGUGUGGGCAGAAAACCAUUUGUCCACUGCAAGAAUCUCCAAGUGGUGCAUCAAAGCAGUGCUUCAAGGCUAUGAUGCCAUCAGAUGGGCAAAAGGAGGUUGUUGAGCAUGCAGAAGUCAAACACUUGACUUUCAUUAUAAUUCUCAAGGGUUUGCAGGAAGAGUUUGAUGGGUGAAAUGAAGAUGCUGGUGUUUUAUCUGCCUGAAGGUGGUAAGUGUGGCUUAAGAUAACUUUCUAGUCUAUAGUUUUAAGGUAGAUGAUCAGGAACUGGGCGGAUGUUGAGAUUUGAGACCUCGGCUCAUCUGUUGUAGAAUAAGCAACGUCUCAGUCACUCAAUGAUUACCCGAGGUUAUUAUGGUGACCGAAAUAAUGGCUCAUCAGAUAACACGAUAGACUAUUACUGUGUUUUGUUUUGUUUUCUAAAGCUGUGUAAAUAGUCUUAGAGGUCAAUGUAAUGAGCUCAACAGUCAUCCAGGUUGUGAUGGAAGUGGUUGCUGGACUCUGCACUAAAUGAUCCAGGGAGUUUAUUGGUGUGCCGUAAGGAAGACUCUUGGUUAUCAUAGAUUUUUCAGACAGGGUCCUACAAGAAGAGGCAUUGGUUGGAUGACUUUAAGGUGGGGUCUUGAGCAUUUUCAGAACUCUGUAGAGUUCAAAACCCAGGUACAACAUUUCUGCAGAUUCCAAACCUACACCCUGCACUGACCUAUGUAUUGAAGGGAAAAUGAUUUCAGAUGAUUUUUAAAAGACAAAAUCUUGUAAAGUGAAUAGAGGUAACCACACUUCAUUUAAAUGUUUUCUUUAUACUUACGAUUUUCCAUUAGGUGCAAUUUCCCCCUUUAAACAAAUAUUUUACAAUUACUCUUUGAAGAGUUAGUUCCCUGGUGGCUCAGCGGAUUAAGGAUCUGGUGUUGUCACUGCUGUGCCUCUGGUUACUGCUAUGGUGUGGGUUCGAUCCCUGGCUGGGGAACUUCCAUAUGCCUGGGGCUCAGACAAAAAAACAAAACAAAACACAGUAGUUGAGAUUCUCAACAAAAACUGUGGUUCUCGGAGUUCCCUUCCUGGCUCAGCAGUUAACGUGCCUGACUAAGAUCCGCAAGGAUGCAGGUUCGAUCCCUUGCCUCAUUCAGUGGGUUAAGGAUCCGGUGUUGCUGUGAGCUACGGUGUAUGUAUGUCGAAGAUGUGGCUCAGAUCCCGUGUUGCUGUGGCUGUGGCGUAGGCCAGCAGCUACAACUCCUGAUUCGUCCCCUAGCCUUAGUUCGUGGAUAAUUAGGUCCUUUCCAAGACCUGAAGCCCGGACGCUUCCAGAAAAUACAUUUUUUCAUCAGUUCUGCUUGAGACUGGAUUAGCACAUCUUCCCCAUAUAUUUCUCUUUCAUGCAAUGGUCAAAUGUGGGCAGUUAAUUUUGCUGGAAAAUUGUUGUUCGUUUUCUUAGGCCAUCUGGGGCCUGCUGUGAUGGACUAUUGUCUUUUGGAUUAAUGGUUGUAGACACGUGAAUAUUUCUUGCGGGUCUUGAAAGUUAUUUUACGGAGUUCCUCUGUGGCUCAGCGGAUUAAGGACCCAGCCUUGUCACUGCAGUGUCUUGGGUUGCUGCUGUGGCGUGGGUUCAGUCUCUGGCCCCGGGAACUUCCACAAGCUGCAGGUGUGGCCAAAAAGUAAAAAGAAAGAAAGUUGUUUUACUUUGAUGCCGCAUGGGUACUUUCAGCUCAGGCUCAAGAUUAAAAGUUGGAACGGGGACUGGGCACUCGAUUUGAAGAUGGAGAAACAGGACGCUAUAAAAAUAAGUGCUGCUGCUGCUCUACAGCACAGGGAACUCUACCCAAUGUUCUGUGAUAACCUAGAUGGGAAACAAAUCUGAAAACGAACGGAUACAUGUGAGCCUCGUCUGCAACCUACACCACAGCUCAUGGCAAUGCCGGAUCCUUAACCCACUGAGCGAGGCCAGGGAUCGAACCCAUGAUCUCAUGGUUCCUAGUCGGAUUCCUUCCUGCUGUAUAUUUUACCCCUUACCUAUGCUAUUGAAAACCCAUAUAUUAUUUGUUCGGGAGCCCUGCUAUCUGUAUCACUAGGAAAAAUGCCUAUCCACAGCCCCAGCUCAUGCAUACAUGUGUGCACACACCUGUACACACACACACACACACACACACACACACACACACACACACACCUCUACGCUCUGACUCUACUCAUCAUCUACCUGCCCAUGAACCUACAGCCAUCGCUUGUGCUAUAGGGCAGGUGUGUGUUAGUCCGAAUGAGUAGUACUUACGAUUGAAUCUAAACAUUUGUCACCACUCCCUUUUAAUUAAGCAAAAGAAAUAAAACGAUCACGGUCAAGUUUCCCAUUUUGUAGUUAAAAAACUGCCAUUUAAAUAAAGGGGAAAAGAACCCCCAAAACAAAGAGCAGAAGUUGAGGGUCCCAGGACAUUUUCCUUGGCUCUGGGUACUUACCCCAGUGAGAGGUGUCAGGAUGGCUCUGAUCCUCUCCUGGCUGGGCUUUUGCUCCAUCUGUCCUGGGACAGCUCAGAGGCACAGUGAGGACAGCGGCCUGGGGUGGAUGGUACACAUGUGAAUCCCUGGUAGGGCUGGAGCUGGGGUCAUCUCUGAACGCUGGUCUCUUCCUCUCUGGGCCAUUUUUUGCUCCCUUGUUAAAUUCAAAAGUCUGUAUUUUCUGUCGUGUGGUCUGCUGAGGAAGCGACAUUCCUAAGUGGAACACUAAGCUGAAAGCUUUCGUCCCCGGCCUUGCGCUUGCAGAGUCUGGCUUUGUGGGCCCAUGUUAUCCUGUUUUUACUGCGCUGAGACUCUGCGUGUGGAUUUGUAAAUACCGGUGAUAGGAUUUUCUCAGUGAUGCUAUUUGGCUGACCUCAAAGUGCCAAAUUAUUUUGACACUUUUUGAAGAAGUGUUUUUACCACUACCACCACCCUCCCCCCCAAAAAACUGGAAGCUGGGAAGACUCGUCAUAAAUAGAUGAAAAUUUAAGGGCUAUAAGAAGAUACUAAAGGUACUCAGUGUUGGUAUUUUUUCAAUUUGAGCCUCAGUAAGCUUGGGCCUGAUAGCUUUAUUUCAACUUGAAAUCCGGAGUUCCUGUCGUGGUGCAGCAGAAACAAAUCCGACUAGGAACCAUGAGGUUGCAGGUUUGAUCCCUGGCCUUGCUCAGUGCGUUGAGGAUCUGGUGUGGCUGUGAGCUGUGGUGUAGGUCGCAGAUGCAGCUCAGAUCCUGCGUUGCUGUGGCUCUGGUGUAGGAUGGUGGCCACAGCUCUGAUUAGAUCCCUAACCUGGGAACUUCCAUAUGCUGCGGUGCAGCCCUAAAAAGACA
RNAcentral lists this long non-coding RNA (5268 nucleotides) under Sus scrofa (pig). RNAcentral describes it as "lncRNA (ENSSSCG00025007793.1)". The record is from RNAcentral. Lineage: Eukaryota; Metazoa; Chordata; Mammalia; Artiodactyla; Suidae.